Molecule: long non-coding RNA, 3683 nt
Filed under: Homo sapiens (human)
Lineage: Eukaryota; Metazoa; Chordata; Mammalia; Primates; Hominidae
Description: HSALNT0354057
Source: RNAcentral
UCUUGGACUCGGUUCGACCAGGUCUGGUGACCGGCGACGAGGGGCCGGGCUCGGCGCCGGGGGUCGGGGAAAGAAGAACUAGGUCUGGCAGUAGAUCAGAAUCUACCUGUUGGGGAAAACCAGAAAUAGGAAGAAGAGUUAUUAAUGGUUCAUUCUUGGCUGAGAAGAAUUCAGUAUGGAAUAAUUAAGGACUGACUUUAAGAGAAUCUACUUGUCACUGGAUUUAGGGUACACCUGGAUAAUCCAAGAUGAUCUCACCUGAAAAUUUUUAAUUACAUCUGCAAAGACCUUUUCUUCAAAUAAAGUAAUAUUCACAGGGUCUGGGGAUUGGGAUAUGGAUGUGUCUUUUCAGGAGCCACCAUUUAACCCACUAAAUUCAUUAUAUGCUGUUUAAUGCUGUAUCUUCCUUUUGGAUUGAAGAGAUAUGCUUCUGUUUGAAGAUGGGCAAGUGGGCUAGGGAAUUUUUGGCUAGUAGGUAGAAAGGAACUUUAAAAAUAUUUCUGGUUGGUGCUGUUUAGUAAGUGCUUGUUAAACUUUCAGAGGUCAAAUAUCUUGAACACAAAUUGGAGAAGGAGUAAAUCAGUAUAAAGUGAAAAAUAUGAUAUUUUCUCCAAAAGGCAGUCACUGACUGCUUUGGCAGAAAGAAUUGAGGUGAUUACUCAAGAGUUCCACCAAAUUGUUGUGCUAGCUUUUACAUUUGCAAACUAUAAAAAACGGGACUAAAUUAAGUAGCAGCUCACUUUUUUUAUUAACAGUAUUACAAGUUGACUUUUUCAUUUCUUGUGUAAUUGAGAUAAAAGGGGGGGUGUGUGUAUGAGAGAGAGACAAAGAUUUUGUUAAUGGUUUUAGUAUGAUUCAUUUCUUAUGUCAUAUGGGCAUUCUAAUUUGAGUCAUAUUAAUUAAGGUGAUCUAUGUAUGUAAACUCUUUGAGGGAGGGACUUGGCAUGCCUUGUAUACAGCUAGAUCCCCAGUGUAGUUCCGGACACGUGGUAGAUGUGCUCAGACAACAUUAGCUGUAUGAAUGAAAGAACUUCUUAUGAUACCCAAAUCUGGCAGCCACAAGUCUCAUUACAAUUUACUUUAUGGAGGGUCCCCAUUGGUAAUAAGGUCUAUUAAUUGUAGAAUUGUCCCUGCUGACUUUAAGAGACUUCACUCUGUGUCCUUUUAUGCUGACAGAGCCUACAACUUUUUUCAUCUCCAAUAAUCUUCAGCUCCAGGCCAAAAAAAAGUUGUUCUUGCCCUGCUCACAUUAAUUGAAAUAAGUCAGUGAGAUUCCUUCUGCCCACCACCUCACUUCUCACUAGCAUGGGGCUCAGCUACCAUUAGAGAUGUUAGAGUGGGGCUGUUGUGCAGUUCUUCAGACUAUUAGUGCUGUAUGCUAUGUUCUGAGGAGGGUUCGGGCUUUUAUCUUCUCAAAAAUGUGUAAAAUUUUGACUCACUCAUACAGCUUUAGAUGUUAACAGAUAGAAGUAUACUGACUGUGUGUGCUAGGCUCUUCCAUGUAUUAUAUCAGAUGUUGCUUCCAGCCAACCUGAGAAGCUAAGUACUAACAUUGUCCCUAUUUUACAGAAGCAUAAAGAAGUUAAGCAACCCAACCUAAGUUCACACCAAAAUUUGAACCCAGGUAGCCUUACUUCAUUCAGUGCCCGUGUUCUUAACCAUGUCCAAUGACAGCCUCAAGCUCAUUUGUUUAUAAGUAACUCGUUCUUACUUUCUAAAAGCUUUUCUGUUUUCUUUAUUUUGAAGCUCAGAAAUUAGAAAUCUGACUAGGAUAUAUAUAUAGGUAUAUGCCCUUUUUCAUUUAUCCUGUCUGGUACUCAAUGAGCCCUUUUGAUUUCAUAAUUCUAGUCUCCUCCUGAGGGAAGUUUUCUUGUAUUAUGUUUUGAUUAUUACUUUUUCCAUUAUGGUCCUUGUUCUCUCUCUGAAUGCCUUUUAUUUCCAAUUAGACCUCCUGGACCUGCUGGUUAGUUCUCUCAUCUUUUUAUUCAAGAAUUCCAUUUCUUUUUUUUUUGCUCCAGAUAAUGUGAUACACAUUCACCUGCUUUUCCAGAUAACAGAUUUGUUCUUUGGAGGGUCUCCUGUACUUUUUACUUCCUCAAUUGAAAUUUAAAAUUUAUAAAUCAUGUUUAAAGAAUUACCCAAUCUAUUAUUUUGUUUCAGUUAUUCCCUUGCAUUCAACAGCAUAUACAAAAUAAAAUAUACAAGUAAACAUGGUUUAUUUUAGAAAUGUGAGACUAUUUCAACAUUAGGAAAUACUAAUGUAAGAUAUCACUCUAAUAGAUCAAAGGAAAAAAACUUAGAAUCAUUUUCACAAAUACUGCAAAGGUAUUUGAUAAAUCACUACUCAUUCUUGAUAAAAACCAAAGAAACAAAAAACAGCUCUUGUUAAUCCAGGAAAUGAAGGCUAUUUUCUUAACAGUACAGCCAAUAUCAUAGUUAACUUUGAAAGUUAAUUUUGAAAUACUUGAGCAACAUUCCCUAAGAGUAUCUUCAGAACUGUAGAUCUGAUGUUUAUAUAAAAAAGGGUAUCUUGGUGUAUUAGUUAGGGUAAAGCGAGAUGUUACAACAAAUACCAACUUUUCAGUGGCUUAAUAAAAUAUAAAUUUAUUUUUCCCUCAUGUAAUAGUCCACUGCGGAUGUUUCUGGUUGGCAGACAGUUGUUUUUUUCUGUAUGGUAACUCAGGGACAUAGGCUCCUUCCAUUAUAGGGAUCCACCAUUCCCUAGGGCCUUGAAUUCUUCUGUUUCCAGUGGACAGAAUUGCAGAGAUAGGGUGGAGAAUGCAUACUUUCUUCUCAGUUACCUUGGCCUGGAUACGACACACAUCAGUUCUGUUCACAUUCCCACAUUCCAUUGGCCGGAACUAGAUGCGUUACCUCACCUGUCUGCAAGAUGUGUGUUCCAGGGGAGGGAAAUGGAAAACAUUAUCUGGCUGGGGAACCACAGGUGUGGUAACAGUCUCAUUUGUAGUUGGAAGGAGUAGAAAUUAGGAAUGCCUUAGUGGAGGACACUGUGUGAUAUCUGUCAAAUUUUAAAACAUACAUGUUCUUUGACCUCAAAAUUCCACUUCCAGCAAUUUUUCCUACAGAUAUACCCACAAAUAUAUACAUGUUUACACUUGGAGGAUAUACCUAGUAAUAUUGUAAUAGUAAAAGAUUGGAAGCAUUCUGAAUGUCCAUCAAAGGGGACUGAGUUGGAAACAUUCUGAAUGUCCAUCAAAGGGGACUGAGUAAAUUAUUGUUUAUCCAUACAUUGAAACACUGCAGCCACUGAGAGGCAGUGAUAUAUGUACUGACUGGGGAGAGAAAUGCAAGGUACAGAACCGUGUGUUCACAGCUACCAUUUACUUAAAAAGAGAAAUAUAUACAUGUAUGCUCAUAUAUUCAUAGAAUAUUUAUGGAGGGAUCACAAGAAACUGGAAGGAUCACAAAAAAUGUAACAGUGGCUGCUUCUGGUUAAAAUUAUAAGGUCAUGGGUCAUGGGAUGAGAGAGUCAGGCUUUUACUGUGUCCUCUUUUAUACCUUUUGAUGUGCACCUAUUUAAAUAUAAAAGUCAGUUGUAGAAGUAUAAUAAAUAACAUGGAAAGAUGGCUGUAAUAUAUUAUUGCCUAAAAACAAGCUUACUGAAAAUUAUGUACAAUAUGUUCUCACUUUUAUAAAUAAAUAAAGAAAUGGGAUAUACAGAA